GAUGAAGAACGUAGCGAAAUGCGAUACGUAGUGUGAAUUGCAGAAUUCAGUGAAUCAUCGAAUCUUUGAACGCACAUUGCGCCCUUUGGUAUUCCAAAGGGCAUGCCUGUUCGAGCGUCAUUUGUACCCUCAAGCUUUGCUUGGUGUUGGGCGUCUUGUCUCCAGUCCGCUGGAGACUCGCCUUAAAGUCAUUGGCAGCCGGCCUACUGGUUUCGGAGCGCAGCACAAGUCGCACUCUUUUCCAGCCAAGGUCAGCGUCCAACAAGCCUUUUUUCAACUUUUGACCUCGGAUCAGGUAGGGAUACCCGCUGAACUUAAGCAUAUCAAUAGCGGAGGA
Molecule: unclassified non-coding RNA, 337 nt
Filed under: soil metagenome
Description: partial contains 5.8S ribosomal RNA, internal transcribed spacer 2, and large subunit ribosomal RNA
Rfam family: 5.8S ribosomal RNA (bases 1-120)
Source: RNAcentral